Podarcis lilfordi (Lilford's wall lizard) is the source of this 73-nucleotide non-coding RNA. Lineage: Eukaryota; Metazoa; Chordata; Lepidosauria; Squamata; Lacertidae. The record is from the annotation of a GenBank genome assembly.
GGCACCAUAGCUCAGUGGUAGAGGACCUGCCUUGAAUGCAGAAGGUCCAAGGUUCAAUCCCUUGUGUCUCCCA